Non-coding RNA from Paramuricea clavata, 1328 nucleotides. The record is from the annotation of a GenBank genome assembly. NCBI's taxonomy places the organism in Eukaryota, Metazoa, Cnidaria, Anthozoa, Malacalcyonacea, Plexauridae.
UUUCUGCUCGAGGUUUCGAAGUUUAGGGCGUACACGAUUAAAGUUACUGCAACCAAACUUCGCUUUUAUGAAACUUAUUCGAAAUAAAAUCGGUAUACCAUGCAGGGGGAAAGGUCAGUAUUAAAUUUAGCUAUUUUUAAAACGUUUUUGAGUUGUUCAUGUUAAGUUCUAGUUGCUCUUCGAAGCUCGUGUGUAGAUAUAUUCAUUGUAAUAAUAUGUAUUGACUUCAAGCGCUUCGUUUCGGCGCUUAGUCGCUUUGUUUCUUUGCCGUUUCUCUCUCAUUUUCUAGCAGUUGUGUUCCGAAAUACCCGAGCUUUGAUUUAUUUAACUCAUAUUUAGUUUAUCUGCAAUUUCAGGGCGAAAAUUUGACGAGAAAGUGAACUAAUUUAAGUCGCCGUCAUGGUCGAAAAGGCGAAGUACUUGGUAAGCAUAAUGUCCACUACGGGCGUUUCCUUCUUAUUUUUUUAUUUAAGCUUCCCUUAUACACCUAGAACGUCUUCUGGUAAAGCCUAAUUUGUAGCUUGAUGAACAUUCUCCGUUAAAUUUAGUUAUAAAAAUAUGUCCGAACAGAGCGAAAUGCCGAAAGGCAUGUUCAAUUCGACAUGCAUUUCAAACAUUUUAGCUUCUACAAACUUAUCGUUUAUGUACAAAUUGUACUCUGAGAGGGAAGGCUAAGCUUUUUUCUUAGUUGAAUUUAGUCCAAAUAUUUUGAAGAAGCUCAGAGAUGAAAUGCCCUCGUGGUUCAUGCCCUAAUUUUAUGCAUACAUACACGCAUUCUUUAAAAUUAAACUAAAUUGAAUUGUACUGUGUAAACGACAUUAAAUAACUCUUCACUGUUAAAACUAAAAUUAAUUUUAAUAUUUUUUAGAUUGCCUCAAGUUCGAUUAUCUUGACGCCACACAGUACAGAAAGACCUCUGCGCAGAUUUGAAGAGACGUUCGCCUGGCAGUCGAAGCAAAACGAGAAGACGGGAAAGCAAAUGCUGAAUGAAGACCAUCAUCAGCUAACCCACAGCAUUCAUCGUCGCAUUUCGUUUGUCCCAAGUUUGGAAGAGACAGUAAAACUUAAUAAGAUACACUCAUCAUCAGAUUUAGCUCUGUCAGCCAGGACGCGACACCGUACCACCGUUCCCAAGACUGGCAUGAGGAAUUGUCUACCUAUACCAGCCUACGAAAUAGGCGUGAAAGAUGCUGUACAUUACAGAAGGUAUAUUUUCCUCGUAAUUCUCGUUGGUCGUGUUCGAAAGUACGUGGGGACCACCCUGAGGGCGCCCAAAUGCACAAGACAAAUUUAAAUAUGGCACAUUUUCCUUAAUUUCGCAAUUUAUU